AGCUGAUUUAGGCAACAAAACUCCACCAGUUGAUUUCUGCAGCACAAAGUGCACAACAACUCAUAGUAAGAAGAUUUUAUGAAUAAAACUAGUAAAUAUGAAACGAACAAAAUCUAUCCCAUUAACAAGCAACUAAAUAGCAUAAAGAGUCAAGUCCAACAUAAACACGGAUAAAGUUUGAUUUGUGUUGUAAAUGUUGACAGAACAGACGCAGUGAAGCACACCUCAGAUAAUUCUUCAAGACGAAUAAGGACUCUAUCCACUUGGGGAACAACCUGCGACUUAGUCCAAUAAGCAUAACCAACAAAAAGCUUGUGACACUAUAACAGAGAGGGAAAAGGAUAAAAACAGGAGAUCCGAAGUGGAAAAAAGAAGAGCAAAUUGUAUUGUAUUUCUACGUAGAAAUUAG
This 409-nucleotide unclassified non-coding RNA is filed under the name Hevea brasiliensis (rubber tree). The record is from RNAcentral. Lineage: Eukaryota; Viridiplantae; Streptophyta; Magnoliopsida; Malpighiales; Euphorbiaceae.